Molecule: ribosomal RNA, 468 nt
Filed under: uncultured bacterium
Lineage: Bacteria
Description: partial 16S ribosomal RNA
Rfam family: Bacterial small subunit ribosomal RNA
Source: RNAcentral
GACGAACGCUGGCGGCGUGCUUAACACAUGCAAGUCGAACGGAAAGGCCCUGCUUUUGUGGGGUGCUCGAGUGGCGAACGGGUGAGUAACACGUGAGUAACCUGCCCUUGACUUUGGGAUAACUUCAGGAAACUGGGGCUAAUACCGGAUAGGAGCUCCUGCUGCAUGGUGGGGGUUGGAAAGUUUCGGCGGUUGGGGAUGGACUCGCGGCUUAUCAGCUUGUUGGUGGGGUAGUGGCUUACCAAGGCGUUGACGGGUAGCCGGCCUGGGAGGGUGACCGGCCACAUUGGGACUGAGAUACGGACCAGAGUCCUACGGGAGGCAGCAGGGGGGAAUAUUGCACAAUGGGCGGAAGCCUGAUGCAGCGACGCCGCGUGCGGGAUGACGGCCUUCGGGUUGUAAACCGCUUUCGCCUGUGACGAAGCGUGAGUGACGGUAAUGGGUAAAGAAGCACCGGCUAACUACGUG